AAAACCUUGUGUUAAUGUGUGGCUGUCGGCUAGUGCAUUGGUAAACUAGCUGGCAGUCACACGUAUUAAUAAACGCGUGCAGAUUGUAUUUAAGGGUGCAGCUUUCCCUGCUCUGGGCGGCUGUACGGAGGAGAACGAGAGGGAGAGGUUAAUUUAAAGGAACUGAAGAUACUACCAUCCUGCCAACCAACAGCAAUGAAAGCUUUGGCAUGGAGGCUAAAGACUUGGCCAUCUUCUGCUGAGAGUGAGAGGGGCUUUAGCUUGAUGAAGCACAAAUGACAACAAGCAGAGCCUGCCUUAGCCUGGAAACAGAGAGGGAUCUAGUGUUCAUAGCAAUGCAUGGGCCUCCACUACAUCUGGCACAUCUGCAGAAAUAUACAACAUCCUGGUUAAGACAAGGACCACAUGCAACGACGGACGCAGCAGGACGCAGACCUUCCCCACAAGAACCUCAUUGCAUAUGAAGCUUUUCAAAAGUGUGCCCAAUUAUCAUCUGUAUCCUCGGCUCACCGCUCGCACCCCCCACACUGACUCGGGAAACGGAGGCUGGAGCGCGUAUCCUCCAAAACACGCGCCUGCCAAUCCAUCACUUUCCACACUGCGGAUCCACAGCGAGGCCACCAGACCUAUAGUGCCGGAGGAAACACAGAUCUGGAGGCUCCACUGCAGA
Polyodon spathula (Mississippi paddlefish) is the source of this 670-nucleotide long non-coding RNA. RefSeq lists it as uncharacterized. The transcript is spliced from 3 exons. Lineage: Eukaryota; Metazoa; Chordata; Actinopteri; Acipenseriformes; Polyodontidae. The record is from RefSeq and is a predicted model, not a curated record.